CUACGAUGGUAUGUAAGGCGUGACUUUUGAAUGAAGGCCUUGCCACACUCGUUACACUUGUAAGGUGUCUCUCCAGUAUGAAGUCUAUGAUGGCAUGUAAGGGAUGACUUCUGAUUGAAGGUCUUGCCACACUCAUGACACUUGUAAGGUUUCUCUCCAGUAUGAAGUCUAAGAUGG
This is a long non-coding RNA of Cebus imitator (Panamanian white-faced capuchin), 177 nucleotides long. RefSeq lists it as uncharacterized. NCBI's taxonomy places the organism in Eukaryota, Metazoa, Chordata, Mammalia, Primates, Cebidae. The transcript has 2 exons. The record is from RefSeq and is a predicted model, not a curated record.